UUAAGUAGAGCUUGAAAGUUAAGCAGUUCAUUUACAUUGAAACGAUCUUGUUCAAACAAGUGUUUAUA
This 68-nucleotide transfer RNA is filed under the name Homidia socia. RNAcentral describes it as "tRNA-Val". The record is from RNAcentral. Lineage: Eukaryota; Metazoa; Arthropoda; Collembola; Entomobryomorpha; Entomobryidae.